AAUAUUGGACAAUGGGGGCAACCCUGAUCCAGCCAUGCCGCGUGUGUGAAGAAGGUCUUCGGAUCGUAAAGCAUUGUAAGUUGGGAGGAAGGGCUUUAGGCUAAUACCCUGAAGUAUUGACGUUACCAACAGAAGAAGCAACGGCGAAACCUGUGCCAGCAGCCGCGGUAAUACAGAGGGUGCAAGCGUUAAUCGGAAUUACUGGGCGUAAAGCGCGCGUAGGUAGUUCAGUAAGAUGGGUGUGAAAUCCCCGGGCUUAUCCUGGGAACUGCUUUCAUAACUGCUGAGCUAGAGUACGGUAGAGGGUAGUGGAAUUUCCUGUGUAGCGGUGAAAUGCGUAGAUAUAGGAAGGAACACCAGUGGCGAAGGUGACUACCUGGACUGAUACUGACACUGAGGUGCGAAAGCGUGGGGAGCUAAC
RNAcentral lists this ribosomal RNA (421 nucleotides) under uncultured bacterium. Its description in RNAcentral is "partial 16S ribosomal RNA". It matches the Rfam family "Bacterial small subunit ribosomal RNA", at positions 360 to 773 of the family's 1533-position model. The record is from RNAcentral.